This 6406-nucleotide unclassified non-coding RNA is filed under the name Hevea brasiliensis (rubber tree). The record is from RNAcentral. Lineage: Eukaryota; Viridiplantae; Streptophyta; Magnoliopsida; Malpighiales; Euphorbiaceae.
GGAGUCGUGGUGCGUUCCCCUCCUCUACAAAUUCACCCCAUUUUUUCUCUUCCACAAAUCAGAUUCUCUCCCCGCACAAACAAUGCCAAACGCUGUCUAAACCCUACCCCUCUCUCUCUAUCUUCACUGCUUCAUGGACUGUGUAGCAUACAUAUUUCAUCGUUCUCAAUCUUCGCCCUAUGGCUCUCCUCUUCUUCCCGCGCUCUCUCUCAAUCGCCUACGCGCCAAACGUCGCCUCUGUUCCCCGGAGGAAAAGGUGCAGUUGCUCUUUCUCUGCACAAGCACCUUUGACUACAACCAACGGACGUUGCAGUGGUGGCUCCGUGAUUAUCUGGUUCAAGCAGGAUCUUCGUGUCGAUGAUCAUCCUGGCCUUGUAGAAGCUUCUAAAUAUCCAUCCUUAGUUCCUCUUUACGUUUUCGAUCACCGGAUUCUUUCUUGUUAUUCUGAUGAAAUGCUAGAACUUGUUCUUUUUGCACUGGAGGAUUUAAGGAAGUCCCUAAAGGACCAGGGAUCUAAUUUGAUGAUCAGGUUUGGGAAUGCAGAGAAUGUCAUAAGAGAUCUUGUACAGGAGGUGAAGGCUACGGAUAUAUUUGCUGAAGAGGAGGUAGAGUACCACUUGCACAAGACAGUGGUAAUUGUGGAAGAAACCUUAGUAAGGUCACCUCUUUUAGAUGGGAAUCCAAAGAUGAUGCUAUGGCGGACUCCAUUUUAUGAUAUUAAGAAUCUAAAGGACUUGCCUGCGUCAUAUUUUGACUUCAAAAGACUUCAAUUGCCCAUAACUUCACCUCUUCUGCUCCCAACCUUACCUGGUGUAGCAAUGGAAUUGGAAUGGGGCUCUCUGCCCACAUUGGAUGAGUUGAAGAAAUUUAUGAAUGAAAAUCCUUUGAAAUUGAAAGAAAGCUGGACUUUGAUCAAGGGGAUGUCAGCUGAAACUGUAUUGCAGAAGAAGCUGUCAAAGUUGAGAGAAACAGAUCUAAAUAAUUUGAAUUUCAAGCAAAGUCAGAGGAAGAGACUGGAUAAAUCUGUUUUUGUCACACAAAAACAAAAUUUUGUGGGAGGUGGGACAAAGAGCAUACUGAAAGCAUUGGCUGCAUACUUAAGAUAUUUGGAGGGAACAGCUCAAGAUGAUUGGCAAGAGUAUGUGGUGAUAUUUUAUUUGAUUCAUUUAUCAGCAAGGAUUCUUAACAUCUUGCUGAAAUAUACAGUUUCAUUUAUCUGUUGUUAUUUUUUUUUUUGGCAUUUAUGGUAGCAAUCUGUCCAUGAACCAGAAGCAUCUGUUGUCAGUUUACUAAAAAAUCUUGCACUUACCAUUAUGGAAUAUCAAAUGCUUACCAUGUGGAAGAAGAUUGCAAUCAUCUGAAUGAAUUGCAUGCCGCACAACAUAGAACAAGGAACACUGAGUUGGCACGCUCUAAGUCUUCUCUAUAGUUUAAAUUUUGUAUUCUUCAGAUUACUUGUACCUUUCUUGUUUUCUGACUUGAAAUUUCAUAUUUCCCUAUCCAACAUCUCUCUCUCCUCUCUCAAUAUAUGUAAUUUUUGGUUGGAAAGUGUUGUAUUAUAAUGGAAUUGCAGUCGGGUUCUUGGUCUAGAUCUUUAAACACUGUUUGCAGUGGGUUUGUAUUUUGUGCGCUGUGAUCUUGGAAAAUGACUUUUGAGGAUAAUUUUAACAGUAUAAAAAUUUAUGCUAUUGAGAUUCAAUUAAAAUUAAUAGGAAUGAUUGUAUGGCUUGAUCUCAUAUCAGGGUACAUGAGAAGUUACGUGAUGCUGAAAGUAGGGAUGGGGCUUCUUUUUUCACGCUUUUUGGUCCUGCACUUUGUCUUGGGAUUAUAUCCAGAAGGAGAGUGCACUAUGAAGCAAUAAGAUAUGAGAAGGAAAGAAAUGCUGGAUUUCUGUCACCCUUUGGAUUUUCAACAAUCACUGUUGCUGCAGCUGCUGAUGCUGUGUGCUCAAUGGAGUGGUAUUGGCUUAUGGCUCUAAAAGGUCAAAUAAAUGUUGGAGGAACAUAUCCUAUUCGAAUAUGGCGAUGGAAUGGCUAUCUAAUACAGUAUACAAUUGUUGGUCAUGAAGGUCCUGCUGUUCUCCUUGUUCAUGGUUUUGGUGCAUUUUUGGAGCAUUACCGUGAUAACAUAAACGUUAUAUCUCAAGGUGGAAACCGAGUUUGGGCAAUCACAAUUUUGGGAUUUGGCAAAUCAGAAAAGCCAAAUGUUGUAUACACUGAACUUCUGUGGGCUGAAUUGCUUAGAGAUUUUAUAAUUGAAGUUGUGGGUGAACCAGUGCAUCUUGUUGGGAACUCCAUCGGUGGCUAUUUUGCAUCCAUUGUUGCAUGUUGUUGGCCUGCUUUGGUCAAGUCAGCUGUCCUUAUCAACAGUGCUGGGGAUGUUAUUCCAGGAUAUGGUUAUCUACAAUUCACCAAAGAGAGACAAACAUCAGUGAUUGCACGGCUGGGUGCUCAGCUCCUUUUGCUUUACUUGAGGUGGAACAUGAGAACAAUAAUGAAGGAUUACUACCCAACAAAAACAGAAAGAGUUGAUGAUUGGCUUAUUAAUGAAAUGCUAAGAGCUUCCUUCGAUCCUGGUGUACCGGUGGUCCUGGAAAGUAUUUUCAGUUUGAAUCUUUCACUUGCGCUUAAUUAUCUUUUGGAAGGUUUCAAGGAAAAGGUUCUAAUCAUACAGGGAAUGAGAGAUCCUCUUUCCGACUCCAAGUCCAAAGUUUCCCUGCUCAAAGAGCAUUGUUGUGGAGUCGCAAUUAGGGAACUGGAUGCUGGCCACUGCCCCCAGGAUGAAAAGCCAGAAGAAGUGAAUCCAAUCAUUUGCCAUUGGGUACUGGUAGCAGAAAGCGAAAGUCUGGCGGGGAGCUUUUCAUAGUUCAUAGAGAAGCGAGUAGUUGUUGUACGUGAUAUUAAUUUCUAAUUAACAUUAAGCCUUCAUUUUUUUUUCUCAAACGGCCUACAACUGUUAUAACUAAUUUGCACCGAUAAAAAAACCUGUAGUAAGUGUAACAAUAUAUAAUAUAUCCAAAAAUAAGGAUAUAAAUUUAAUUUUAAAUAAUUUUGGAAGUAGUGUGUGUGUGUGUGAUCCAUCUGACUUCCUCUCUGCAAACAUUUACCCCCGUAAAAAGAAUACACCAAGUCAGAUGCCCGUGAGAAACCGACUCCUAUGUUUGAAUGGCUUCUGAAGUGGGCCAUGGCUUUAAAACAAUACAAUCAGUCCCAGUGAUUGGGAGCAUUAGCAGAAGACACUUUCCUCAAAUUGACGAGGCCUUUCAAAACAAAAUUAUCCAAAAUUUUCCAAUGAUUCCCUUCCACCUAUUGUCCUAAAAUUGGCUCCUAUCUUCUAUCCUCUUAUUUUUCCACUUUUGCCUGACAUUGAUCGCUUUCUAUCUUUUGGUUGCUUGCUGAUCUUCCACCAGUCUUAACUCAUCCAUAAAGCCCGUCAUAUCAGGAACGAUUCCUUCAUUGCAAUAUCUAACAAUCCCUUCCCCUACUAGAUCAUUCAACAUUUCACUGGGUUCUUUGGCUCCACCAUGCUGCAAUAACUUUGUUCUAAGAGAAGUUCCUGUGCUUAAUGAAAGUGGAUCUUCCUGGCAUAACUUCUUCCAUAUGGUUGCAGCAAAACAUCUAGCAUACAAGUAGCUAUAGUAGCCUGCACCAUAAUUUACAAGAUGACUGAAUCUGAUCUGCCAGUGUGUACCCUCCACAUGCUUCCAACUGGUAUACUGCCUUUUAAGAUCUGCAACAAUAGAACUUGUAUCCCUGGACGAGGCUUGCUGUUCUCCAAAAAGAGUUUGGUCGACCAAAGCAUAGAAAACCUAAUGAAUACCAAAUAAGAAAACAAAAAUAGUUUAAGUUUUUUUCUUGCCUCGUAAGCUAAUUUCUUCAAGGCCUAUAAAAUAAACCUGGCGUUGCAAUUCAGUUGCUGCAAACAUAUCUCUAGCACCUAGCAUGGACGUCACCAACUUCUCAGGUAUUAUUUCACCAGUUGAGUGGUGCUUGGCAAAUGUUCUCAAGACUCGGUAAUCCCAGGCAUAGUACCUAAGGAUACCACCAAGAUCACAUCAGGUCAAAUACCAUUAAUGCAAUGUAAUUAUUUUCAGAAGUGAUAUAAAUGCAUAAAUACUUAAAGAAACACAUCUAAGAAACAAAUCGUCUUUGUUACUUUGGAUGGAUCAACUGGACUUUAAAUGAAUAUACUAGAGAAUGAAGUUACAGCAGAUUAUCAUGUGUAUGAUGUUUACCAUACUAAAUUGAGCACAGAUGAGUUAAGUAGCUAACCAUGCUACACCCAACUGAAGAUAAUGAUAGGAUAUACAUGGGGACUGUAUUUUGAUGAUGCUAUCUACUGGCUCAAAAUGCUUUAAGCUCAUAUGUUUUAUGUAUUUCUAGUAACACUAUUUCCAUAAGCAAUGAAAAAUAUUUUGCUGAUCCCAACAGCAAUAAGAGGAGGAUGACAAUGUGUAAAUUACAAUUUGAUACUCACUCAAACAGGUUUGAAGGCGUUUCAGCAAAGUCAAGAACCACCCUAGUACCUGAAAAAUGUUGAAAAUCCUACAAGAAUAAUCAUGAGAUAGUGUGAACAAAAAAAAAGCCUUAUGAUUUCUUCGCCCUGCAGCAAUGUAGUAACAGUCUUGUACCGUUCUUGAGAGCAAGGAAUGAAGAGCAUGUCCAAACUCAUGAAAUAGAGUUUCCACUUCCCAGUGAUUAAGCCUCACAUUUGAACUAUUUGAUCCUGAAAAAUUGCAAACAAGGGCCACAACAGGAAGCUGAUAUUCUGUUUCAGAAAUGCGCCGUCCUCCUUUAAUUGCAAAGUUAGCACAACCUGGAUACUUGCCCUUCCUGGAGUACAAAUCAAGGUAUAGAUAUCCCAAAUCACCCUCUUCAGGAUGACGAAGAGACAGUUUAAGAACCUCUGGGUGCCAUGAUUCACCUGGUGCCAUAGGGACAUUAUGAAAUGUUGCACCAAAUAAUGACUUCACUAGUACUUUCAAACCUUCAAUACACUGUCGCAAAGGAAAAUAUGAUGCUACUAUUGAAGAGUCUAAAUUAUGAGCAGAAGACUUCAUCAUCCCAGUAUAGUAGGUCUCAUCCCAUGGCUCUAAAUCAAUACAUCUUUGACCACAUUUUUCUCUCUUAAAAUUUCUUAUUGUCUCAAACUCCUGAUCGGCUUUUGGCCUGAUCAUCUCACUCAUCUCACAGAGAAAGGACAUCACAACUUCGGGUGAUGAAGCCAAGUUUUGUUUCACCACAAAUUCAGCAUAAGAUUUAUACCCCAUUAUCUGUGAAAGCUCAUGGCGAGCGGCAAUAAGCUCAUCAAGAACUUUGAGGUUUGCACGUGGAACAGAGUUCCCUUGAAUAUAUGCCAUCUUCCUAACCUCAUCAUCUGCUACCCAAUGCAGAACUGAAACUAGAUUCCUGGGCUCUGUUAUUAUCCGAAAUCCUUUUUCUUUCAUGUUACUCCAUGACCCUAAUGAUCCUCCCGAAGUUCCAGAUGUGAAGCGAUGAAUGGGAGUAAGAAGAUGGUGUAUCUGUUUUGGUAUCCGGGAUGCUGGAAAUAUAUCCACAUUACCCGGAUCAAUACUUAUAUUUUCACCAAACUGCCUAGAGAGUUGAAAAAUGUCCAUGUUUAACUGAUUCACUCUAUCUAAUUUCUCAGAAGAUAGAUGAAUUCCGCCCUUUUCAAAAUCAAUGCGUAGGUUGUGGGCAGCCCUAUGAGACUCCUUUGUAAGCAAAUGAUCAUCUUGCUCUGCUCUUUUCACGGCCGCAUAUAAAGUAUGAUUUGUAUUAAGAUACUCACAUGUAGAUAUUCAUUGAUCCUCAUAGAUGCCUUGUUAGCCUCCUCAACAAAUUCCCUGUCUGGAUGAGUAUGUCUACAAAGUUCUGCAGAAUCAACAACAGAGCAGACUGUGUCUGAAAUCUCAUCCAUGGCUUGGAUAAUUUCAGCUGAUGAAGGCAUCAUAGAAAUACGAUUGACCAAUUCCCCAGACUUUAGGGUUCCUUUUCCGGUUGCGAAUUAGCAUUCAUUAAAAUAAGCAUCAAAAUCAAUCCUGGAAGUCAUCUCUCGAUGGCUUCGUCGACGAACCGUUGAAAGCCUUUUGGAGUUUUUAAGUGGUCGAAUCCGUAGAGACCGGUGGUGGUGGCUCCAUCUAAUCGAGGUACUGCCCAGGUGCUAAACUGUCGGGUCUUGUGAAGAUCCAAACUGCAUAGUUUAGAAACAUAUUUGGGACGGAGUUUCGCAGCAGCUCUGCGGAUUAGGGUGGACAUGGUGGCUAGAGUGGUGCUGAUGCUGCGCUGCCGCUGGCUCUUUGUGUUUCGUCUUUCGUGGUUCCUGAAGCUGCUUUCAAGUACAGGGUUUUUUUUUUAAUUUUAGGGAGGCUUUCACGUGGAGUCCCGUUGCCAAGGCGAGAACCUGG